CCUACGGGAGGCAGCAGUGGGGAAUUUUGGACAAUGGGCGCAAGCCUGAUCCAGCAAUGCCGCGUGAGUGAAGAAGGCCUUCGGGUUGUAAAGCUCUUUUGUCAGGGAAGAAACGGUCUACUCUAAUACAGUGGGCUAAUGACGGUACCUGAAGAAUAAGCACCGGCUAACUACGUGCCAGCAGCCGCGGUAAUACGUAGGGUGCAAGCGUUAAUCGGAAUUACUGGGCGUAAAGCGUGCGCAGGCGGUUAUAUAAGUCAGAUGUGAAAUCCCCGGGCUCAACCUGGGAACUGCAUUUGAGACUGUAUGGCUAGAGUGUGUCAGAGGGGGGUAGAAUUCCACGUGUAGCAGUGAAAUGCGUAGAUAUGUGGAGGAAUACCGAUGGCGAAGGCAGCCCCCUGGGAUAACACUGACGCUCAUGCACGAAAGCGUGGGGAGCAAACAGGAUUAGAUACCCUGGUAGUCCACGCCCUAAACGAUGUCUACUAGUUGUCGGGACUUAAUUGUCUUGGUAACGCAGCUAACGCGUGAAGUAGACCGCCUGGGGAGUACGGUCGCAAGAUUAAAACGCAAAUGAAUUGACGGCUGAGACGNGCGAGACGACGACGAGGGAGGAGG
Molecule: ribosomal RNA, 618 nt
Filed under: uncultured bacterium
Lineage: Bacteria
Description: bacterial SSU rRNA
Rfam family: Bacterial small subunit ribosomal RNA
Source: RNAcentral